GCCUGCGUGGUGAAACGUUAACACACUCGGCUCGUAGUCGAGAGAUUCAGGUUCGAGUCCCGGUGGCG
This 68-nucleotide transfer RNA is filed under the name Stegodyphus mimosarum. It matches the Rfam family "tRNA". From Rfam's summary of the family: Transfer RNA (tRNA) molecules are approximately 80 nucleotides in length. Their secondary structure includes four short double-helical elements and three loops (D, anti-codon, and T loops). The record is from Rfam by way of RNAcentral. Lineage: Eukaryota; Metazoa; Arthropoda; Arachnida; Araneae; Eresidae.